UACAGAGGUCUCAAGCGUUGUUCGGAUUCAUUGGGCGUAAAGCGCACGUAGGCGGCUUUCUAAGUCAGGGGUGAAAUCCUGGAGCUCAACUCCAGAACUGCCUUUGAUACUGGAGAGCUUGAGUCCGGAAGAGGUGAGUGGAACUCCGAGUGUAGAGGUGAAAUUCGUAGAUAUUCGGAAGAACACCAGUGGCGAAGGCGGCUCACUGGUCCGGUACUGACGCUGAUGUGCGAAAGCGUGGGGAGCAAACAGG
Molecule: ribosomal RNA, 253 nt
Filed under: uncultured bacterium
Lineage: Bacteria
Description: partial 16S ribosomal RNA
Rfam family: Bacterial small subunit ribosomal RNA
Source: RNAcentral